Molecule: long non-coding RNA, 358 nt
Organism: Haliotis rufescens (red abalone)
Lineage: Eukaryota; Metazoa; Mollusca; Gastropoda; Lepetellida; Haliotidae
Exons: 3
Source: RefSeq, a predicted model, not a curated record
UACGACAAGUUGUCCAUUGUUUUGAGUUUGAGCUGACAUCUGAAUGAAAAUGAAACUGUUUCUUAUUUCCGUUCUUCUUCUUGUGUGUCUGGCCGUCUACACCGAGGCGUGCGGCUGUAGUAAGUGUAGCAGCUGUUGCAGCCACAGCAGUCACCACUCCCACCACAGCAAACACGGCAUCCCCAUCCCGAUCCCCUACCCCAUGUCUCACGGCAGCAGCGGCGGCAGUCACACCAACUUCCUCCCCAUCAUCCUCACCACAACCGGCUGAAAGUACAGAGGUGUACUGCACAAAUAGUUCCAACAUUCGGAGAAACGGAAGCUGGAGAUGUUCAUCUCUAAUAAAGUUUUAAAUCCU